This 434-nucleotide ribosomal RNA is filed under the name uncultured bacterium. Its description in RNAcentral is "partial 16S ribosomal RNA". It matches the Rfam family "Bacterial small subunit ribosomal RNA", at positions 29 to 507 of the family's 1533-position model. The record is from RNAcentral.
AGCGAACGCUGGCGGCAGGCCUAACACAUGCAAGUCGAACGAACCUUUCGGGGUUAGUGGCGGACGGGUGAGUAACACGUGGGAACGUGCCUUUAGGUUCGGAAUAACUCAGGGAAACUUGUGCUAAUACCGAAUGUGCCCUUCGGGGGAAAGAUUAAUCGCCCUUAGAGCGGCCCGCGUCUGAUUAGCUAGUUGGUUGAGGUAAUGGCUCACCAAGGCGACGAUCAGUAGCUGGUCUGAGAGGAUGAUCAGCCACAUUGGGACUGAGACACGGCCCAAACUCCUACGGGAGGCAGGAAUGGGGAAUCUAGCGCAAUGGGCGAAGGCCUGACGCAGCCAUGCCGCGUGAAUGAUGAAGGUCUUAGGAUUGUAAAAUUCUUUCACCGGGGGCGAUAAUGACGGUACCCGGAGAAGAAGCCCCGGCUAACUUCGUG